Molecule: ribosomal RNA, 530 nt
Filed under: Paracoccus marinus
Lineage: Bacteria; Pseudomonadati; Pseudomonadota; Alphaproteobacteria; Rhodobacterales; Paracoccaceae
Description: bacterial SSU rRNA
Rfam family: Bacterial small subunit ribosomal RNA
Source: RNAcentral
AAUAUGCCCUUCUCUGCGGAAUAGCCUCGGGAAACUGAGAGUAAUACCGCAUACGCCCUUUGGGGGAAAGAUUUAUCGGGGAAGGAUUAGCCCGCGUUGGAUUAGGUAGUUGGUGGGGUAAUGGCCUACCAAGCCGACGAUCCAUAGCUGGUUUGAGAGGAUGAUCAGCCACACUGGGACUGAGACACGGCCCAGACUCCUACGGGAGGCAGCAGUGGGGAAUCUUAGACAAUGGGGGCAACCCUGAUCUAGCCAUGCCGCGUGAGUGAUGAAGGCCUUAGGGUUGUAAAGCUCUUUCAGCUGGGAAGAUAAUGACGGUACCAGCAGAAGAAGCCCCGGCUAACUCCGUGCCAGCAGCCGCGGUAAUACGGAGGGGGCUAGCGUUGUUCGGAAUUACUGGGCGUAAAGCGCACGUAGGCGGACCGGAAAGUUGGGGGUGAAAUCCCGGGGCUCAACCUCGGAACUGCCUUCAAAACUAUCGGUCUGGAGUUCGAGAGAGGUGAGUGGAAUUCCGAGUGUAGAGGUGAAAU